UUGAAUAAAAACUUUUAGUUUUAUUUUUCAUAUUCCCUGUUUAUAUUAAAUACGUUUCUUCCAUCGGACAGGUCUUUUUGGGACCCUCUGGCUUGAGCAAAUGCUUUUUGCUGGGGAGUUUUCCGGUGGCAAUUUCUAAGAAAAAAAUCUUUUGUUAUUUAUGAACUGUCUGAAUGAUAACUUUUUAAAUUGAAUA
RNAcentral lists this unclassified non-coding RNA (196 nucleotides) under uncultured Terfezia. Its description in RNAcentral is "sequence contains ITS1". Lineage: Eukaryota; Fungi; Ascomycota; Pezizomycetes; Pezizales; Pezizaceae. The record is from RNAcentral.